This 498-nucleotide ribosomal RNA is filed under the name uncultured bacterium. Its description in RNAcentral is "bacterial SSU rRNA". It matches the Rfam family "Bacterial small subunit ribosomal RNA", at positions 8 to 518 of the family's 1533-position model. The record is from RNAcentral.
AGGGUUCGAUUCUGGCUCAGAACGAACGCUGGUGGCGUGUCUUAUACAUGCAAGUCGAGCGAGGCAGCAAUGCCGAGCGGCGAACGGGUGAGUAACGCGUAAGCAAUCUGCCCCAUAUCAGGAAAUACCCGUGCCAACGCGCGGUUAAUGUCCAGGAGAGUGGCCUUCCGCAUGGAGGGUUGACUAGAGAUUUAUCGGUAUGGGAUGAGCUUGCGUCCGAUUAGCUAGUUGGCGGGGCAACGGCCCACCAAGGCGACGAUCGGUAGCCGGCCUGAGAGGGUGAUCGGCCACAUUGGGACUGAGAUACGGCCCAGCCUCCUACGGGAGGCAGCAGUAGGGAAUAUUGCACAAUGGGGGAAACCCUGAUGCAGCAACGCCACGUGUGGGAAGAAGCAUUUCGGUGUGUAAACCACUGUCAUGAGGGAAUAAGGCCCGCCUCCGGACGGGAUUGAAUGUACCUUGAGAGGAAGCACCGGCAAACUUCGUGCCAGCAGCCGC